UCUUCAUCUCGCACACUCUCUCACCAGUCAGAGGGACGAGAGAGUGUGUGAAAUGAAGAGA
Non-coding RNA from Pristionchus pacificus, 61 nucleotides. Lineage: Eukaryota; Metazoa; Nematoda; Chromadorea; Rhabditida; Neodiplogasteridae. The record is from Rfam.